This 468-nucleotide ribosomal RNA is filed under the name uncultured bacterium. Its description in RNAcentral is "partial 16S ribosomal RNA". The stretch from base 53 to 468 matches the Rfam family "Bacterial small subunit ribosomal RNA", at positions 34 to 507 of the family's 1533-position model. The record is from RNAcentral.
GGGGGGGGGGGGGGGGGGGGGGGGCGGGGGCGGGUCGGGGGGGAGGGCCCUGCUUUGGUGGGGUGCUCGGGUGGCGGACGGGUGAGUGACACGUGAGUAACCUGCCCUUGACUUUGGGAUAACUUCAGGAAGCUGGGGCGCAUACCGGAUAGGAGCUCCUGCUGCGUGGUGGGGGUUGGAAAGUUUCGGCGGUUGGGGAUGGACUCGCGGCUUAUCACCUUGUUGGUGGGGUAGGGGCUUACCAAGGCUUUGACGGGUAGCCGGCCUGAGAGGGUGACCGGCCACAUUGGGACUGAGAUACGGCCCAGACUCCUAAGGGAGGCAGCAGUGGGGAAUAUUGCAAAAUGGGCGGAAGCCUGAUGCAGCAACGCCGCGUGCGGGAUGACGGCCUUCGGGUUGUAAACCGCUUUCGCCUGUGACGAAGCGUGAGUGACGGUAAUGGGUAAAGAAGCACCGGCUAACUACGUG